UUCUUUCUUUUGAUCUGGAUCCAGGGCCU
This 29-nucleotide non-coding RNA is filed under the name Mus musculus (house mouse). Lineage: Eukaryota; Metazoa; Chordata; Mammalia; Rodentia; Muridae. The record is from RNAcentral.